RNAcentral lists this ribosomal RNA (1522 nucleotides) under Salmonella enterica subsp. enterica serovar Kentucky. Its description in RNAcentral is "bacterial SSU rRNA". It matches the Rfam family "Bacterial small subunit ribosomal RNA". Lineage: Bacteria; Pseudomonadati; Pseudomonadota; Gammaproteobacteria; Enterobacterales; Enterobacteriaceae. The record is from RNAcentral.
AGAGUUUGAUCAUGGCUCAGAUUGAACGCUGGCGGCAGGCCUAACACAUGCAAGUCGAACGGUAACAGGAAGCAGCUUGCUGCUUUGCUGACGAGUGGCGGACGGGUGAGUAAUGUCUGGGAAACUGCCUGAUGGAGGGGGAUAACUACUGGAAACGGUGGCUAAUACCGCAUAACGUCGCAAGACCAAAGAGGGGGACCUUCGGGCCUCUUGCCAUCAGAUGUGCCCAGAUGGGAUUAGCUGGUUGGUGAGGUAACGGCUCACCAAGGCGACGAUCCCUAGCUGGUCUGAGAGGAUGACCAGCCACACUGGAACUGAGACACGGUCCAGACUCCUACGGGAGGCAGCAGUGGGGAAUAUUGCACAAUGGGCGCAAGCCUGAUGCAGCCAUGCCGCGUGUAUGAAGAAGGCCUUCGGGUUGUAAAGUACUUUCAGCGGGGAGGAAGGUGUUGUGGUUAAUAACCGCAGCAAUUGACGUUACCCGCAGAAGAAGCACCGGCUAACUCCGUGCCAGCAGCCGCGGUAAUACGGAGGGUGCAAGCGUUAAUCGGAAUUACUGGGCGUAAAGCGCACGCAGGCGGUCUGUCAAGUCGGAUGUGAAAUCCCCGGGCUCAACCUGGGAACUGCAUUCGAAACUGGCAGGCUUGAGUCUUGUAGAGGGGGGUAGAAUUCCAGGUGUAGCGGUGAAAUGCGUAGAGAUCUGGAGGAAUACCGGUGGCGAAGGCGGCCCCCUGGACAAAGACUGACGCUCAGGUGCGAAAGCGUGGGGAGCAAACAGGAUUAGAUACCCUGGUAGUCCACGCCGUAAACGAUGUCUACUUGGAGGUUGUGCCCUUGAGGCGUGGCUUCCGGAGCUAACGCGUUAAGUAGACCGCCUGGGGAGUACGGCCGCAAGGUUAAAACUCAAAUGAAUUGACGGGGGCCCGCACAAGCGGUGGAGCAUGUGGUUUAAUUCGAUGCAACGCGAAGAACCUUACCUGGUCUUGACAUCCACAGAACUUUCCAGAGAUGGAUUGGUGCCUUCGGGAACUGUGAGACAGGUGCUGCAUGGCUGUCGUCAGCUCGUGUUGUGAAAUGUUGGGUUAAGUCCCGCAACGAGCGCAACCCUUAUCCUUUGUUGCCAGCGGUCCGGCCGGGAACUCAAAGGAGACUGCCAGUGAUAAACUGGAGGAAGGUGGGGAUGACGUCAAGUCAUCAUGGCCCUUACGACCAGGGCUACACACGUGCUACAAUGGCGCAUACAAAGAGAAGCGACCUCGCGAGAGCAAGCGGACCUCAUAAAGUGCGUCGUAGUCCGGAUUGGAGUCUGCAACUCGACUCCAUGAAGUCGGAAUCGCUAGUAAUCGUGGAUCAGAAUGCCACGGUGAAUACGUUCCCGGGCCUUGUACACACCGCCCGUCACACCAUGGGAGUGGGUUGCAAAAGAAGUAGGUAGCUUAACCUUCGGGAGGGCGCUUACCACUUUGUGAUUCAUGACUGGGGUGAAGUCGUAACAAGGUAACCGUAGGGGAACCUGCGGUUG